AGAAUAGCGUCUGGGAGAGUUUC
RNAcentral lists this small nuclear RNA (23 nucleotides) under Arabidopsis thaliana (thale cress). Its description in RNAcentral is "snRNA_16318". The record is from RNAcentral. Lineage: Eukaryota; Viridiplantae; Streptophyta; Magnoliopsida; Brassicales; Brassicaceae.